GGCACCGUAGCUCAGAUGGACAGAGCGCUCGCCUGAAAAGCGAGAGGUCACCGGUUCGGUUCCGGUCGGUGCCA
Molecule: transfer RNA, 74 nt
Filed under: Microbacterium sp.
Lineage: Bacteria; Bacillati; Actinomycetota; Actinomycetes; Micrococcales; Microbacteriaceae
Description: tRNA-Phe
Rfam family: tRNA
About the family: Transfer RNA (tRNA) molecules are approximately 80 nucleotides in length. Their secondary structure includes four short double-helical elements and three loops (D, anti-codon, and T loops). Further hydrogen bonds mediate the characteristic L-shaped molecular structure. tRNAs have two regions of fundamental functional importance: the anti-codon, which is responsible for specific mRNA codon recognition, and the 3' end, to which the tRNAs corresponding amino acid is attached (by aminoacyl-tRNA synthetases). tRNAs cope with the degeneracy of the genetic code in two manners: having more than one tRNA (with a specific anti-codon) for a particular amino acid; and 'wobble' base-pairing, i.e. permitting non-standard base-pairing at the 3rd anti-codon position.
Source: RNAcentral